RNAcentral lists this non-coding RNA (794 nucleotides) under Blasticotoma filiceti. Lineage: Eukaryota; Metazoa; Arthropoda; Insecta; Hymenoptera; Blasticotomidae. The record is from RNAcentral.
GUAAAGUUUGAUUUUGGUUUUAUUAUUCAUUAUUAAUUUUAUUUAUAUGUAAAUUUUUAUUGAGAUUUAAUUAAAAAUUAAUGAUUUAUAUAAUUGCAAUAAUUAAAUUUAAUAAAUUAAAGAAAUUUAGAUUUAGAAAUAUUAUUUAAUAUAGUAAAAUUUUGUGCCAGCAUUCGCGGUUAAACAGGAGCAUAUAAGUGAAUAUUGAUUAAUUUAUAAUUAAUAAAAAGUUAAUAAAAAUAAUGUAAAUUUAAAUUAAAAAUUAUAAGGUGAAAUUUAAAUUUUUAGGUAUACAAUUUAAAUUUUUAUUUUAUAUGAGGGUGUGAAAUUUUUUUUAAUAAACUAGAAUUAGAUACUCUAUUAUUGAAAAUAUAAAUUAAAUAAAAUUAGGGGAUUAAUAGGUAUGAUCUUGAAACUCAAGAGAUUUGGCGGUACUUUAAUCUAAUUAGGGGAAUUUGUUUAUUAAAUGAUGAUCCACAAGACAUCUUACUUUAUUUAAUUAAUUUAUAUGUCGCCGUUGUGGAGGGUAUUUAAAGAUUUUUAUUAACUUUCAAUUACCUUAACUUGGGGGAAAUUCAGGUAAGAUGUAGUUUAUAAUAGAGUUUAAAUGAGUUACAAUAAAGUUAUUUAUACGGAUAUUAAAUUGAAAUAUUUAGUUGAAGGUGGACUUAAAAGUAAAUUUUAAUAUUAUAUAAUAUUGAAUAUAGCGCUAAAGUAUGUACAUAUCGCCCGUCGCUCUCGUUUAAAAAUGAGAUAAGUCGUAACAUAGUAGAUGUACUGGAAAGUGUAUCUAG